RNAcentral lists this ribosomal RNA (758 nucleotides) under uncultured bacterium. RNAcentral describes it as "bacterial SSU rRNA". It matches the Rfam family "Bacterial small subunit ribosomal RNA", at positions 18 to 766 of the family's 1533-position model. The record is from RNAcentral.
CCUGGCUCAGGACGAACGCUGGCGGCGUGCCUAAUACAUGCAAGUCGAGCGGAUUGUUCCUUCGGGAACAGUUAGCGGCGGACGGGUGAGUAACACGUAGGCAACCUGCCUACAGGAUCGGGAUAACUACCGGAAACGGUAGCUAAGACCGGAUACAAGACUUUGACGCAUGUCGGAGUUUGGGAACACGGAGCAAUCUGUGACCUGUAGAUGGGCCUGCGGCGCAUUAGCUAGUUGGUGAGGUAACGGCUCACCAAGGCGACGAUGCGUAGCCGACCUGAGAGGGUGAGCGGCCACACUGGGACUGAGACACGGCCCAGACUCCUACGGGAGGCAGCAGUAGGGAAUCUUCCGCAAUGGACGCAAGUCUGACGGAGCAACGCCGCGUGAGUGAUGAAGGUUUUCGGAUCGUAAAGCUCUGUUGCCAGGGAAGAAAGGCCAGGAGAGUAACUGCUCUUGGAUUGACGGUACCUGAGAAGAAAGCCCCGGCUAACUACGUGCCAGCAGCCGCGGUAAUACGUAGGGGGCAAGCGUUGUCCGGAAUUAUUGGGCGUAAAGCGCGCGCAGGCGGUCAUUUAAGUUUGGUGUUUAAUUCCGGGGCUCAACCCCGGGUCGCAUCGAAAACUGGGUGACUGGAGUGCGGGAGAGGAAAGUGGAAUUCCACGUGUAGCGGUGAAAUGCGUAGAGAUGUGGAGGAACACCAGUGGCGAAAGCGACUUUCUGGACCGUAACUGACGCUGAGGCGCGAAAGCGUGGGG